This is a non-coding RNA of Rattus norvegicus (Norway rat), 4429 nucleotides long. The record is from RefSeq and is a predicted model, not a curated record. Lineage: Eukaryota; Metazoa; Chordata; Mammalia; Rodentia; Muridae.
CUUGAUGUGCACCUAAGGAAAGAGAGAUUAAUGUCCUGAGAAUAGGAAGAUCAUUUCCAGUUCUUUUCUAUCAUUCCAGAUUGAAAGACUGGUAGGGAGAGAAUGGUAAAUAAUCAAGAAUUCACAGAUGAUGCUUUGAAUGCAGGGUGGGUUUCUGUGCUGGUUUUAGACAGGGUCUCAAGUAUCACAUGUUGCCCUCUACAUGGCUGGCCAGGUUCACUUUGAGCUCAGAUGAACCUCCUUCCACUUUCCAAUAAAUAGGCUUACAAGAGUGGCCUCCAAGGACUGUGAGGACAGCAUUAGCCUUUGACAGUUGAGGUGUGCAACCCACAACUAUAGUUUUAGCAACCUUUUUUCAUGUCUACCAGCUAUUUCAGAUUGUUGCUGUUCUAUGCCUGACAAUCAAGGACGCAGAAAAAUAACCAGAUAGAGAGCAAGGACAUGGUGAUCACAUCCUUGCCUCUUCUGUACGUUCUGGAUGAGGUUUGUUAAAAUUCCAAUAUUGAAAAAGCUUUAUAUAGGGCCCAUCACAUUAAGGGUCACUGUGCACUGUUCUAUCUAAAAUGGUCUAAUCAGAACUGACUAACAUAUAACACUUCCUGCAGUCCUCAUAUGAGAAGCUUGAGCUUUUUGCUUUGACUUUUUCUUUUCUCUUUACUUCUUAUUUUUUGCUAUAUAAGUUGAGAGAAAGAUAGUUAGGGCCAUGAAUUUGCCCCCAAAAUUUGAACUACGGAUGUGAUCAAUCAGUGUUAAUGUGUAAAUUCUAUACAGUAUUCAUUUUUUACUAUGAUAGAUGCUUUUGUGUUUGGUGUGGUGGAUAUUUCCCAGUGUACAGGUGCUGGGACCUUACUCUAUCCACUUAAUGAUGUUUAUAGCUUCAUUUUAGACGUUUAUGUGCACCCCCUAUAUCUCUUGACUAUUUUAUUUUUCUGACAGAAGCUCUUGGUAUAUCUUACUCAGGCUUGUGAGCAGUGCUCCUUUGGCGACAUUGGUGCAGAGAGGAGAACCCCACAAGCAGAAUGAGGUUCCCUUCACUGGUGGCUCCAAUUUGCACUUUCCUCUGCCAACUGGUCUCCACACUUUGCCUUGCACUUUAAAGACAUCAACUCUUUCUCCUAAGGAAUUUCUUCGCAAUUGUCGAUUGCUAAGCACAUGACUUCAUGAGUGUUCCCCUAAUACACACGCAUGUUGUAACCUACCAUGCAGACUAUUUCUUGAUGUGAUUUAAAGCACCUGUACAUAAUGAGACAGGAGAACUUUUGAGUGCAUAUUCAAGCUGGUGUGAAAUCUCAGGAAGGUUUAAUGGCUAACAUUGGUGAAUGAGGACAAUUUGAGUUAGGAUGAGACAUUUUUGGGCAAGAUAUGAAAAGAAACAUUCAUUUAGAUGCAUAGGGAUUACUAAGGUUUUUUAUAAUCAAGCCUUGAGGAAAAUUUGGCUUUGGGAGCAGGAGAUGCUCAGUGGCUCUCCCCAGGAAAGUCUCCUGGAAAGGGCACCUCUGCUUAUGCUCAGUACAGGGAGAACAUUAGCAGGGAGGCAAAGUCUGCUCCCCAUGACAUCAGCUGUCCCUUCUAUGACACUCUAUUGUCUCCUAGAGAGUUCUGGCAUCCUCUGUGAUGUCACCAGUGUUGGAGUGACAACCAGUGCCCUAGUUUCUCUCAGACUGAGUCUGGUGGUUACACCCUAAGACAUGUUUUCCUGUCUUCACAACCGUUUUGGGAGGGGGAACGUUGAUUGUGGAGAGACUAGAGUGAAGGAGUCUGGCCUUUUCUCAAAGUAAUGAUGGACAAAGACAGCACUUCUGGGGAAUGUUUAGCCUCACUGUGGUCUAUGAACACUCUAUGCAUCGGGCCAAGAAGGAAAAGGAGAGGCUGAUUGAAGAGCUGCAGCUCAUUACCGAGGAGAGAAAUGACCUGAGAGAUCACCUGAGGUUUCUGACAGAGAGAUCCAUGAAGAACGGGGAUGAAUCGCUCCAAAUUCUCUUGUUUCAUUCCUGGGACUGCAAGGUCACCUUCAUCUUAUCCUAUUAAGGUUUUGGGUUCUAGAAAGCUGUGCCUCCCUAACCACCCUGUGCUAAACCUCACCUCCCAUAUAGAGGAGAUUCAGAACCUGACCCUGAGGAUUGAGAUGGAAAUUGGACUCAUCUGCUUCCAUUUAUUGAAAAGCAGAUCUUGUGGUCUGAAUGAAGAAUUCAGGGAUAAAGUCAGGGAGAGUGAGUUCCCAGUGUGCAUUUGCAAAGCCCUUGACAGCUGGUUGCUUUGCAAGAUUGUAAUUGCAGUGAGUUUAUGGUGAGUCUCUAUACUUGCUAGGCAGGGGACUGAGUGCUGGAAGAUCCAGGCAGCAGCCUGAGGGGCCUGAUCCCAAACUGUUCAUCUCAAUGCUUGACUAGAAGGUCUCAGGCUCAGGCCUGUUUGUUAUUGUCUGUGUGUCUUGCCCUCUGAGACAGCAAUGGUGCAUGCAUUUCUCCUGGUUCUCACAGUGCUCUCUGUUUCCAUAUUUGUCUUUCUCUGACUCUGUUUACAUUUCACUUUUUUGUGGGUGUGUCUUAGUCUGUGAGUCUGUGUGUGCAUACAUCCAAAUGCAUAUGGACAAUUUUUAAAUGUUUAUAUUUCCCUCCACAUUGGAAUCUAGGGGUCUAUGUCUUGGCCUGAGUAUUUACUUGUAACACCUUCAUGGUGAUGUGAAUGCCUUGUUCUGGGAGCCCCACUGUCAACAACACAGUUCUUUGUCUAUGUGACCACGUUUGUAUGUUUAUUUUUAUUCUUUGUGUAGAUUAUAAUUUUGUGUUGAUAUAAGGUCUUUUAUCAAAACAGGAGAAAAGAAAUCACAGGUUUCUGGCUGUGUUGGGGUGGGGAGCAUGGAGAGGUGUGGCCUAGGCUCUUGAUAGCUCAACUGGCUUGACUGCAGAUUUCCUCUUGAUUGAACAAAGGCAGCCAGGGCAGCCUCCAUCUGGAUGCUGAGAUUCUGGUGUCCUGGACGCAGAAAAACACGUUUCUGAAUCUGAAGAAGAUCUAAUAUGUAGAAUUCAGAAGGUGUCCUUCCAGGACUGGGGUAGUACAGGACCCACCCUGAGUUCAUAUAUUCCUAAAUGCUGAUGUUCAUUGGAAUCUAUCAUUUGGGGCCAGGCCACACUUCAGGCCAAAUCCAUAUUAUGAAGACCUGGAGAGAAUGGAGGAGGCGGUCAUGUCAAUUCUGCACAACUUAGAGAUGGAGAACACUGAGAUCCAUGAGAACAGCCAUAAGCUGAAGAAGGAGAUGACCUUCUCUAGGUAAGUCCUGGUCAGAAAGGCUAUCACCUGUGGAAUGGCCAUUUCUGAUUUCUUUGUUCUGGAUUGGACAGUCUUCAGCUAUGAUUCUAUCUCUUGUGCUGUUUACACAUCAGUGUGCCAGGGUCAUUAGGACUCAGUUUUCAGUUCCACAAAAGACUGUUACUCAUCCCAGGAUUGUCUAGGCAUCUUCAGAAGGCUCUAGAUAGAACAGCAUUGAUUGAAGUCAGCAGAAGGUUAUUAGGCUGACCUGGACCUCUGGGGUCACACCAGGUUUUACAAAACUCAGUGUGUGGACCACAUGGUUAGCAUGACCUUCUCUUGUUUCUACUGACCUCCUUUGAGGGUGUUGGCCCACUGCUAAUUUAUGUUGCCCCCAUGCAUUGGGCUUUCAUGGAUAGAUGUAGAUCCGUGUUCUUUUUGAGAGAUGUGGACACUAAUUGGUGCUCAGGCCAAACAAACAAUUUAUUCUUCCCCGAAUUAACUCUUUGUGGUUUGUGGAGCAGCCUUAUAUGUAUCGAGAUGUAUUUUAUUAUGUCUUCAUGGGUAUCUGGGACCUGGUAGAGUUAGUGGGACUUGGGAGUAGGAAUGGGAGAAAGGGGCAGCAUGAUCUUACUAUGCAGACUGUAUUUCCAGAAACCUGCUCAGCCAGCUCCUGAUGGAGAACACAUGCAGGAAGAAGUUGGUCCCACUGAAGCAGGGGAGCAGGGAGGGACAUCUUGAGUGUGCACUGAACCAGAAAUAUUUGGUUGACUUCAACAAGAAAGAUAAAGACCCAGCAUCAUCUGGUCUCAGAAAGUGCAAGAGAGCUGGAAUUGGACACACCCCAGUAAGAGAGCUUCCUGAAGAAUAAGUUGCUUUCUCAGGAGUCCCUGAUGUCUAACAUCCUGAAUGAAAACACCACUUGAGAGACACCUUGGGAGACCGCCUUUCAUUACGUGUGCUAGAAGAGACACAGCAAUACAUCUGUGCUUCUACAUGUUCGUUAAAAAUAUGCAGUUUAGAAAUAUUUUUGUUAUGAUUUUAAUUGAAGUUUUUUUGUUGUUUCCUAUUUAUAUGUUCUUGUUACUAUUUUUCACUUUCAAAUAUUUUUAAAUAUUUUUAUUCAUUUUAAUCCUGUUUUGUUGGAAAAAAUGUAUUUGUUAUGAAUAAAAAUUGAAUUCUA